UCAGGAUGAACGCUAGCGGGAGGCCUAACACAUGCAAGCCGAGCGGUAUGGAUAGCUUGCUAUCCAGAGAGCGGCGCACGGGUGCGUAACACGUGUGCAACCUACCUUUAUCUGGGGGAUAGCCUUUCGAAAGGAAGAUUAAUACCCCAUAAUAUAAUGAUUGGCAUCAAUUAUUAUUGAAAACUCCGGUGGAUAGAGAUGGGCACGCGCAAGAUUAGAUAGUUGGUGAGGUAACGGCUCACCAAGUCAAUGAUCUUUAGGGGUCCUGAGAGGGAGAUCCCCCACACUGGUACUGAGACACGGACCAGACUCCUACGGGAGGCAGCAGUGAGGAAUAUUGGACAAUGGGUGAGAGCCUGAUCCAGCCAUCCCGCGUGAAGGAUGACGGUCCUAUGGAUUGUAAACUUCUUUUGUACAGGGAUAAACCUACUCUCGUGAGGGUAGCUGAAGGUACUGUACGAAUAAGCACCGGCUAACUCCGUGCCAGCAGCCGCGGUAAUACGGAGGGUGCAAGCGUUAUCCGGAUUUAUUGGGUUUAAAGGGUCCGUAGGCGGACUUGUAAGUCAGUGGUGAAAUCUCAUAGCUUAACUAUGAAACUGCCAUUGAUACUGCAGGUCUUGAGUAAAUUUGAAGUGGCUGGAAUAAGUAGUGUAGCGGUGAAAUGCAUAGAUAUUACUUAGAACACCAAUUGCGAAGGCAGGU
Molecule: ribosomal RNA, 702 nt
Filed under: Kaistella montana
Lineage: Bacteria; Pseudomonadati; Bacteroidota; Flavobacteriia; Flavobacteriales; Weeksellaceae
Description: bacterial SSU rRNA
Rfam family: Bacterial small subunit ribosomal RNA
Source: RNAcentral